This 1215-nucleotide long non-coding RNA is filed under the name Chrysemys picta bellii (western painted turtle). RNAcentral's name for it is "lncRNA (ENSCPBG00000017420.1)". The record is from RNAcentral. Lineage: Eukaryota; Metazoa; Chordata; Testudines; Emydidae.
UAUAAGGGAAGCAGGCCUUUAAAGCAACUGUCUCUCUCUGCUACAGUGUAGAAACUUGGGCUUCCAACCCUCCCAGGUCCCCAUUCUGGUCUGUCAUCUUGCUACAGAUUUAAAGAAACAGGACACCUCUUCUCACAUUAUUGCUCUUUGUAAAGAGAUGGGAAGCAGAGGGAGUGGAGAGGAGAGGUGAGGAGGAAAAGAACCGAGGUCCAGGGGGACAGAAGAAAGGAUAAAAGAAGAGACCAGUGAUGUGCUGCUGCAGACAUUGGUCUGAUUCUCCACCCUAUUCGGCCAGAACACCCCCAGUCUUGACCUGCCAUACCCUGGUGCUACUCCCAUUACACUCCUCCUUUGAUGCAAUAUUCUGUGCUUCUGAGCCAAUGCUGUUGUUGAAUGGCCUUUUGCCCUGGUGAAUUGGUGCCAUGUUCCGCCCCAGAGGUGGUUGCAUUUGCAUCAUGGGUGAAGUGAUUCCCUCUAUAGUCUGUUCAGCUCUCUAGGAUGACCGGGACAGGCCAUUAUAUAACUCAGGAUAUCUCUACACUGCAGUUAAGCACCUGCGGCUGGCCCAUAUCAGCUGAUUUGGGCUGAGGCUGUGGGGCUGUAAAAUUGCAGAGUCGGGCUGGAGCCUGGGCUCUGAGACCCUCCCCCACCCUGCCCGCGAGCCCAAGUCAGCUGACAUGAGCCAGCCAUGGGUGUUUAAUUGCCGUGUAGUCAUAUCCUCUGCUAUUACCUGCAGCAGGGUCUCUUUCCCAGGCAGCCCCUCUGCAGAAAUGCAGUAGCAGAGCUCCGCACCAAUCUCAGUGUCACCCCUCCCCAUCCCCUUGCAUUGUUGCCCAUAGCUAAUGAGUGAAAGAAGAGUCUAUUCUUCAGACCGAACAGCUGGAUGAUGAUAUCUGCAGCCAAUUUCCAGCUUCGCAGAGCAGAACGAUUUCUAUUUAGCUUGCAACAACAUACAGAGAAACCAAAUCAUUUCGCCAAGGAAGGAGACGUGGCCUUCACAACCAUGCGUAGAUCUCGACUGGACCUGGAGAGCAAAGUUGGUGGCUGAUGCUCAGAUCUGUGUUCUAAUUUGCACCUGCGCAUUAGAGAUUGACAGUUAAAUAUAGUAGACCUCCAGCUCUUCUAGAUGAAGGCUUCCUCUUCUCCAAGGUAUCAAAGGUAAGCUACUUAUCCUCCCUUUCAAGGGAACUCUCUGGCCUAACUCCACCCUGCAUG